GAUGAAGAACGCAGCGAAAUGCGAUAAGUAAUGUGAAUUGCAGAAUUCAGUGAAUCAUCGAAUCUUUGAACGCACAUUGCGCCCGCCAGUAUUCUGGCGGGCAUGCCUGUUCGAGCGUCAUUUCAACCAUCAAGCCCCCGGCUUGUGUUGGGGACCUGCGGCUGCCGCAGGCCCUGAAAACCAGUGGCGGGCUCGCUAGUCACUCCGAGCGUAGUAAUACAUCUCGCUCAGGGCGUGCUACGGGUUCCGGCCGUUAAAAAGCCUUAUUUACCCAAGGUUGACCUCGGAUCAGGUAGGAAGACCCGCUGAACUUAAGCAUAUCAAUAAGCGGAGGA
RNAcentral lists this unclassified non-coding RNA (335 nucleotides) under soil metagenome. RNAcentral describes it as "partial contains 5.8S ribosomal RNA, internal transcribed spacer 2, and large subunit ribosomal RNA". The stretch from base 1 to 120 matches the Rfam family "5.8S ribosomal RNA", at positions 35 to 154 of the family's 154-position model. The record is from RNAcentral.